Molecule: unclassified non-coding RNA, 236 nt
Organism: Cavia porcellus (domestic guinea pig)
Lineage: Eukaryota; Metazoa; Chordata; Mammalia; Rodentia; Caviidae
Gene: 7SK
Rfam family: 7SK RNA
About the family: 7SK was discovered as an abundant small nuclear RNA in the mid-70s but a possible function has only recently been suggested. Two independent studies have found that 7SK RNA binds the CDK9/cyclin T complex (known as elongation factor P-TEFb).
Source: Ensembl
GAACGUUACCUCUGCACCGCUCCACGUGUGACCCUCCUGAGCUGCACACACAGAUGAAGAGAACAAGCAUCCUGGAUGGAAGAGGACUGUUUCCCUGGUCAAGGGUGUCCGAGGAGCUUACUCCCCUGCUAGGGCCUCCAAACAAGCUCUCAAAAUAAUUACCACUGACCUAAUUAAGAAGAAAGAAAAGAAGAAAAUGAUUCUGAGCCACUGCCAAAAAAUAUAUCACUAUUAUU